UACAGAGGGGGCAAGCGUUGUUCGGAAUUACUGGGCGUAAAGGGCGCGUAGGCGGCCUUCUAAGUCGAACGUGAAAUCCCCGGGCUCAACCCGGGAACUGCGUCCGAUACUGGAAGGCUUGAAUCCGGGAGAGGGAUGCGGAAUUCCAGGUGUAGCGGUGAAAUGCGCAGAUAUCGGGAGGAACACCAGUGGCGAAGGCGGCACUCUGGGCCAGUACUGACGCUGAGGAGCGAAAGCGUGGGGAGCGAACAGG
This 253-nucleotide ribosomal RNA is filed under the name uncultured bacterium. RNAcentral describes it as "partial 16S ribosomal RNA". It matches the Rfam family "Bacterial small subunit ribosomal RNA", at positions 524 to 776 of the family's 1533-position model. The record is from RNAcentral.